AACGAACGCUGGCGGCAGGCUUAACACAUGCAAGUCGAACGCCCCGCCAGGGGAGUGGCCGACGGGUGAGUAACGCGUGGGAACAUACCCUUUCCUGCGGAAUAGCUCCGGGAAACUGGAAUUAAUACCGCAUACGCCCUACGGGGGAAAGAUUUAUCGGGGAAGGAUUGGCCCACGUUGGAUUAGCUAGUUGGUGGGGUAAAGGCCUACCAAGGCGACGAUCCAUAGCUGGUCUGAGAGGAUGAUCAGCCACAUUGGGACUGAGACACGGCCCAAACUCCUACGGGAGGCAGCAGUGGGGAAUAUUGGACAAUGGGCGCAAGCCUGAUCCAGCCAUGCCGCGUGAGUGAUGAAGGCCUUAGGGUUGUAAAGCUCUUUCACCGAUGAAGAUAAUGACGGUAGUCGGAGAAGAAGCCCCGGCUAACUUCGUG
This 431-nucleotide ribosomal RNA is filed under the name uncultured bacterium. RNAcentral describes it as "partial 16S ribosomal RNA". It matches the Rfam family "Bacterial small subunit ribosomal RNA", at positions 29 to 507 of the family's 1533-position model. The record is from RNAcentral.